Molecule: ribosomal RNA, 407 nt
Filed under: uncultured bacterium
Lineage: Bacteria
Description: partial 16S ribosomal RNA
Rfam family: Bacterial small subunit ribosomal RNA
Source: RNAcentral
AUUGAACGCUGGCGGCAGGCCUAACACAUGCAAGUCGAGCGGAUCGGCGGACGGGUGCGUAUUGCCUAUGACUCUGCCUGGUCCUGGGGGAUAACGUCCGGUACCGGGCGCUAAUACCGCAUCCUAUCAGAUUCGCCUAGGUCGGAUGAGCGAGUUGGUGGGGUAGGGGCCUACCAAGGCCACGAUCCGUAACUGGUCUGAGAGGAUGAUCAGGCACACGGGAACGGAGACACGGGCCAGACGCCUACGGGAGGGAGCAGUGGGGAAUAUUGGACAAUGGGCGAAAGCCUGAUCCAGCCAUGCCGCGUGUGUGAAGAAGGUCUUCGGAUUGUAAAGCACUUUAAGUUGGGAGGCGUUACCAACAGAAGAAGCACCGGCUAACUCCGUGCCAGCAGCCGCGGUAAUUC